This 289-nucleotide unclassified non-coding RNA is filed under the name Ochrocladosporium sp. RNAcentral describes it as "partial contains 5.8S ribosomal RNA, internal transcribed spacer 2, and large subunit ribosomal RNA". The stretch from base 1 to 52 matches the Rfam family "5.8S ribosomal RNA", at positions 103 to 154 of the family's 154-position model. The record is from RNAcentral. Lineage: Eukaryota; Fungi; Ascomycota; Dothideomycetes; Pleosporales.
AACGCACCUUGCGCCCUUUGGUAUUCCGAAGGGCAUGCCUGUUUGAGUGUCAUUGAACAAUCAACUUCACAAGUUUUGUGAAGCUUGGACUGUGAGGGUUUGCGGGUGUCACCGAUACCGGCUCCCUUUAAAUUGAUCAGCUUGUGCUUUUCCACCGGCUCUGGACUGAUAAAUCCAUCUAUCCGUUGCUGCUGGGAUGAGCCUGCUUCAAAUUGUCCCUUGUGGACUGUCCUUCGGGGCAUAUUUUGAUCUUGACCUCAAAUCAGGUAGGACUACCCGCUGAACUUAA